Long non-coding RNA from Polyodon spathula (Mississippi paddlefish), 1296 nucleotides. RefSeq lists it as uncharacterized. NCBI's taxonomy places the organism in Eukaryota, Metazoa, Chordata, Actinopteri, Acipenseriformes, Polyodontidae. The record is from RefSeq and is a predicted model, not a curated record. The transcript is spliced from 2 exons.
AAUACAGCCAAAAAAACAGCGGGUCCUUGGACAGCAUCCCACUGAAAAUGCUUGGUCCUGGAAGGGUUAAAGAGCAAGUCAUUUCAAAUGUAACCUGAUCCAAUUUGUGUUCGCUAGAUGGCACUGGUGCUCACUAGCAUAACACAUACCGAUCAAGGCUAUGUUAUAUAAAAUUAUUAAAUUGAAACCACUUUUUAAAAACAAAAACAGGACAUUACUUAUUUGGGUUUGGGCAAUGUUAACUAAUCCUUGUUUACAAGCCACAUUCUCCCAUAGCCUCCUUCAUUAACCUAAUUCUAGAUAUUCGGUAAAUGUGCGGUAGCAAAGCAAUCCGUCUUCAACAUACAUGGAAAAGUGUAGAGAUGGCUUGACCGCAACAAGUAGCUAAUUAAAUUACAUCUACAUCUGGAAGACAAUGAAAGUAAGAAUAUAAUUUCAUAAUUAAAUAGGGCUCUGGAAUGCCUAGUAUACAGAUUUUACUAGACAAAUGGGAUUUUUUAAUUCUCUAAAAUAAAUGUUUUUUGUGUUCCCCAAAAAGGUACAAAAUCGCUAUUCAUGUACAAAUGGCAGUUUAUAUAUCACUACCUUUCCGGUUCUCUUAAUUUAAUUUUCAGGAGAGAAAGUGUCUAACUUCCACGUUAGUGGUAUGUUUAUAACAUAUACAUAUUCAAACACCUUCAAGAAUCAUUUUAAGCAGCUAUAAACUAAUAUUUUGAUAAUCAGUUAACAGCGGUGGCGUAGUAGCAGGCAGUCAAGGCUGGUCAACAGCAGGAAUAGCUAACACAGAAACAGAAACUGCAGUUCCCUAUCAAGUACGAAAUGUAAUUAUUACCUCAUGGGUGUUUAUCCUUACAGACCCUGUAACCUGAAUAGAUAACAAAGACUGCUCGUCAGAGUCUGUGACGCAGUCAUGUCAGCCCCCGAGGGCAUAAAUAUAUUAAACACACACAGAUCUCAAUAUAAUUUUUCCUUUCAUCCAACCUCAGACGAGAGAUAGAGACUACGAUGCACCCUGAAAUAAUGCCCACGAAGAUGCCAUGCUCAUAGUGGAGAGGGCAGUGAGCUUCUCUGGAUGAGCAAAAAUGAGAAUAAAUUCACUCCAACCGCAGCUACUGCAGCCUGGGGGGAGAGCACAAAAUCAACCGACUUACACUGCUUGAUCCCUGGGAAGGGGCGACUCAAGCCACCAACUUCAAGCAGGGCACAAGGCCGCAGUGGGACGUAAUAAACAAGCUGCAGUGCACAAAUAUGCAUAAUUAGUGAAACUAAUAAACAGAUUAUUUUAAUUAUCACAUA